GGUGAGUCUUUGCAAUGGGAUGCUUUAUAAACUUGGUUGCUUCAUAGAAGGUAUCCAUUAAGAAUAUGGAAACUAAAAAGCGUAAAAAUGAAGCGAAAAUUCCAAGCAAAAACCAUUAUACUAAUAAUGUUGCUGUGCGUAUUCAGCGAAAUCAGGCUGAGAAGCAAAGGCGUGACCGACUCAACGACCAGGUUGCUCAGCUGGCCACUAUUGUACCCCCAGUUCUAAAUGCUUCAAAGCCUCUUGACAAAGUUAGCAUCUUGAGACUAUCAGCGUCAUGGAUGAGGCUAAACUACAGUGAGUAUUAUGAUCUCUCA
This is a non-coding RNA of Parasteatoda tepidariorum (common house spider), 317 nucleotides long. The record is from RefSeq and is a predicted model, not a curated record. NCBI's taxonomy places the organism in Eukaryota, Metazoa, Arthropoda, Arachnida, Araneae, Theridiidae.